RNAcentral lists this ribosomal RNA (464 nucleotides) under uncultured bacterium. RNAcentral's name for it is "bacterial SSU rRNA". It matches the Rfam family "Bacterial small subunit ribosomal RNA", at positions 72 to 572 of the family's 1533-position model. The record is from RNAcentral.
UUUCUUCGGAUGAAGUGACUGAGCGGCGGACGGGUGAGUAACGCGUGGGUACCUGCCUCAUACAGGGGGAUAACAGUUGGAAACGGCUGCUAAUACCGCAUAAGACCGCAUGGUAAAAACUCCGGUGGUAUGAGAUGGACCCGCGUCUGAUUAGGUAGUUGGUGGGGUAACGGCCUACCAAGCCGACGAUCAGUAGCCGACCUGAGAGGGUGACCGGCCACAUUGGGACUGAGACACGGCCCAAACUCCUACGGGAGGCAGCAGUGGGGAAUAUUGCACAAUGGGGGAAACCCUGAUGCAGCGACGCCGCGUGAGCGAUGAAGUAUUUCGGUAUGCAAAGCUCUAUCAGCAGGGAAGAAAAUGACGGUACCUGACUAAGAAGCCCCGGCUAACUACGUGCCAGCAGCCGCGGUAAUACGUAGGGGGCAAGCGUUAUCCGGAUUUACUGGGUGUAAAGGGAGCGU